UAGGGAAUCUUCGGCAAUGGGGGGAACCCUGACCGAGCAACGCCGCGUGAGUGAAGAAGGUUUUCGGAUCGUAAAGCUCUGUUGUUAAGGAAGAACGAGUGUGAGAAUGGAAAGUUCAUGCUGUGACGGUACUUAACCAGAAAGGGACGGCUAACUACGUGCCAGCAGCCGCGGUAAUACGUAGGUCCCGAGCGUUGUCCGGAUUUAUUGGGCGUAAAGCGAGCGCAGGAGGUUAGAAAAGUCUGAAGUGAAAGGCAGUGGCUCAACCAUUGUAGGCUUUGGAAACUGUUUAACUUUAGUGCAGAAGGGGAGAGUGGAAUUCCAUGUGUAGCGGUGAAAUGAGUAGAUAUAUGGAGGAACACCGGUGGCGAAAGCGGCUCUCUGGUCUGUAACUGACGCUGAGGCUCGAAAGCGUGGGGAGCGAACAGG
RNAcentral lists this ribosomal RNA (429 nucleotides) under Bacteroidota bacterium. RNAcentral's name for it is "Bacteroidetes bacterium partial 16S ribosomal RNA". It matches the Rfam family "Bacterial small subunit ribosomal RNA", at positions 355 to 776 of the family's 1533-position model. The record is from RNAcentral. Lineage: Bacteria; Pseudomonadati; Bacteroidota.